Molecule: ribosomal RNA, 429 nt
Filed under: uncultured prokaryote
Also listed under: 2 other names
Description: bacterial SSU rRNA
Rfam family: Bacterial small subunit ribosomal RNA
Source: RNAcentral
UGGGGAAUCUUCCGCAAUGGGCGAAAGCCUGACGGAGCAACGCCGCGUGAACGAAGAAGGCCUUCGGGUCGUAAAGUUCUGUCCUCAGGGAAGAACCCUCAUGGGAGGAAAUGCCCAUGAGCUGACGGUACCUGGGAAGGAAGCCCUGGCUAACUACGUGCCAGCAGCCGCGGUAAUACGUAGAGGGCAAGCGUUGUCCGGAAUUACUGGGCGUAAAGGGUACGCAGGCGGAUAUAUAAGUCAAAUGUGAAAGGCACCGGCUCAACCGGUGAGCGGCAUUUGAAACUGUAUAUCUUGAGUUCAGGAGAGGAGAGCGGAAUUCCUGGUGUAGCGGUGGAAUGCGUAGAUAUCAGGAAGAACACCAGUGGCGAAGGCGGCUCUCUGGCCUGAAACUGACGCUCAGGUACGAAAGCUGGGGGAGCGAACGGG